UGAAUAUGUAAAUCUGAAUUUGCGGUGCUAGUAAGAGUCUUUGAUCUAUAUUUGCAUCGAAGUCAGUUUUUCUCUCCUUUCAUAAUUGGAGAAUAAUAAACGAAAAUUGUAUAUCUUAUGAUUCAGAAAAGAAAGUUCGAAAAACUCUUACGAUAAAUUCAUACUUAAAAGCUCAUAAACUAAAAUUGAACACUAAAACGGUGAUGAAAGAACUGAAAACUAACGCAGAGAAACAUGAUCUAUAAAUUUAAAUCUAGAACGUGAAAUCUCACAAAGAAAUGUUAAGUAAAAAAAUAAAUAAAUAUUACUUCUUAUGUUUUCAAUACUUCUUAGAUAGGUUACACGAACAUCGUAUAACACUACUGUCAGUAAACGACCAUCGUAUAACACUACUGUCAGUAAACGACCAUCGUAUAACACUACUGUCAGUAAACGACAUUGUCAUUGUAACAACGAUGAUCAGUAACAACAGAUCGUUCCAUCACGAUUUUCGUUAGCGAUGUUUACUGACAGAGAAGAGAUUGUUAUUCGUGUUCUUAGUAAAAUGUCUAUUGGUCAAAUUAAAGCACGUGCUAAGAAAUGAUACUAUAAUAACACGUGACAAGCCAAGAUGGCUG
RNAcentral lists this long non-coding RNA (617 nucleotides) under Androctonus crassicauda. Lineage: Eukaryota; Metazoa; Arthropoda; Arachnida; Scorpiones; Buthidae. The record is from RNAcentral.